GGUUCCUUUUUUUCUCGUACACGGACUUGGGUUCGAGUUGGUAGACCCAAUAUAGACUCGCCUCCGUGACAGCUUGUCUGACUCAGUGAGUCGAGUUCAUCGGCUGCCGAGUCAGAGAAUUCCCCUAACUACGCAUCUUAACAGGAGGAUGGAAUCGCUUGAUUGAUUAUAUCAUGGGGGUUUUCGAUCCUUAUCGGAAUCGAAUCUCUGCUUCGUAUGCAAUUCUAUUUCUUUUUUCUGGAGUUAGAUUCUGGGAUUUGAUUCAUUCGUAGCUUUAGGGUUACGCAGUAUCUGGGAGUUUCGUUACAAGGGAUUCAUCAUGUGUUGAUUUCAGAAAAACCCUUUUUUUAAAUCAUGAAUGAAUGGCCCUAUAAUGAGUCUGGUGGUAAUCUACUGCUCAUAUGGCUGAUGCCCAUCUUACAGAAACUCUUAAUUCUUGAUCUGGGAGCUUCAGUCUUUGGCCUUGGAUUGGAAAUAAGCUUGCUUCAUCUCCACCCUUGCCACAUUGCUUAGUGGUCGGUUGCUUUUCUUCUUGGUGCGCAGCCAUGCUUGGAAUCCCAUUAGCUUCUCCUUUUGUCGGCGGCAUUGGAGUCCACCGCACGAUUUCGCGAUUCUGAUGUGCCUUGACUUGGAAACAAAAGUAUUGGCUGUACCGUUUCCGGGUGAUGUUUCUGAAAAUUAGUGUCGAAAACAUCGUUCUUGCAGUACCCAUUAAUGUUGUUAACCCACAGUGUGACCAUUAGGAGUAAACCGGUGAAUGAAGAUCCAAAGACAUAGGGAAAAUGAUGCAGAGAAGCCCCGAUCUUGUGGAGCCAGGAAAGAGACUUCCAAAGGUGGAGGCUUUAAUAUAUCAAAAACUGGAUUUCCUGAGAGAUCUUGGCCUCUCGAACUAUAUGAUCUGCAAAAGUUGAUGAAGAAAUUCCCAGAAGCAAGAGAUGAAACCCAACCUUGCAAAUCUUGGACAAGGAGUGGUGAAACCUUCUGCCUCGGGAAGCGGAUUGCGAAGGGAGAUUGUGUAUGGCUCAAUGCACUUCCAUUUCUUUGGUUCUUCAAGCAGAGCUGUUAGAUAUAUCAGUCGACACUGCUUCAUGAACCUAUUUGAAUGAGUUUUGUUAUAAAACAUCGUUCUGUGUAUAUGAUUACGGAAAUGAAAUUUAUUCAACCGAUCAAGAGAUUAAAAGA
Long non-coding RNA from Tarenaya hassleriana, 1182 nucleotides. RefSeq lists it as uncharacterized. The record is from RefSeq and is a predicted model, not a curated record. The transcript has 2 exons. NCBI's taxonomy places the organism in Eukaryota, Viridiplantae, Streptophyta, Magnoliopsida, Brassicales, Cleomaceae.